ACUUUGCCUUGUGAGCAACAGGAAGAUGUCCAUCUGCACACCUGGAAGAGGACCCUAGCCAGGAACUGAAUUGGCUGCCACCAUGAUCUUGGGCUUCCCAGCCUCCAGAACUGCUUUUUCUAUCUUCUGCUCUUUGCCACCUGUGAGGUCCCUGAAAAUGAAGGCCAAUACUACCCAGAGACUAAGGUGUCAGUAUGUUCUUCAAGCUGCUCUGCUCCUGGGCCCAAGCUAUUCUCCUGCCUCAGCCUUCCAAGAAGCUGAAACUACAAGAACACAAGACUGUACCUGGCUUGCAAACACCAUUGCUAAUAAGAAGAUAUUGUAAGACUGAUACCUAAGAGAUAAGAGACAUGGAUCCCUGAGGUCGGUCCCCAAUACGACAAGACAAUUUGAUAUCAUAAUAGAACACUGCAGAAACAAUGCUGAGUGAAGAAGAGUAGAAAUGGGAAGACUUGGUUGAGCGGAAACUGAGUUCUUGAAAAGAGGAGAUGCUUGAUGAGGAUGGAGUCUUGCUCUGUCGCCCAGCCUGGAGUGCAGCAGCACGAUCUCAGCUCACUGCAUCCUCCGUCUCCCAGGUUGAAGGGAUUCUCUUGUCUCAGCCUCCCGAACAACUGGGACUAAAGGCAUGGAUCCCUGAGGUCUGCCCCAGUACUAUAAGACAAUUUGAUGUAAGAAAACACAGCAGAUAUAAUACUGAGUGAAGAAGAGUAUAAAUGAGAAGAUUGGUUGUGCAGAUACUGAGUUCAUGAAAAGAGGAGAUGAUUGAUGAGGCCAGGUGCGGUGACUCAUGCCUGUAAUCCCUGCACUUUGGGAGGCUGCGGCGGGCGGAUCACCUGAGGUCAGGAGUUCGAGACCAGCCUGGGAGACAGAGCAUGGAAACCUAAGGUCUGUACCCAAAACUACAGGACUAUUUGACAUCAUAAUAAAACACUGCAGAUAUGAUGCUGAGUAAGAGUAGAAAUGGGAAGACUUGGUUGUGCAGUAACUGAGUUCUUGAAAAGAGGAGAUGCUUGAUGAGGGCAUGGAUCACUAAGGUCUGUUCCCAAUACAAGAAGACUCUUUGACAUCAUAAUAAAAUACUGCAGAUACGAUGCUGAGUGAAAAAGAGUAGAAAUGGGAAGACUUGGUUGUGCAGAAACUGAGUUCUUAAAGAGAGGAGAUACUUUAUGAGGCCCGACUCUUAUUCUGUCACCCAGGCUGGAGUGCACUGGAGCAAUCCUGGCUGGCCAAUACUGAGUUCUUGAAAACAGGAGAUGCUUGAUGAGGUUGCAGGGCUUUGACUCCUGGGUACAUGUAUCUCAUCUGAAAGGGAAUCCUGACGCCUACUGAAUCUUAAUAGUCAAUAUUGAUAUCUGGCAUCAAAUUCAAGUUGACCAAAGUUCCAUCUUCAGACCUGGGAGAAGAUGACAGUCAAAAUGAACUGCUUUCAUGUGACACUGGACCAGGCCUAUAUACAAAGGCAUAAGUAAUCAUUGAAUAAUGUUUCAUCUAUCUAUCUUAAUAUAAUUUGUUCUAUGCCUUACUAGAUAAAUGUUUAGUUACCUGUGAGUUUUCUUUUCCUGCCAUUGUCAGAGCUAGGCAGGGCUUAAGUCCCUUUCGUUUAAACAUUACUAACUCUAUACAUAGCUUGCAAAAUUGGAUAAAACAACAAAGGUUACUUUUUCACUCUCUCUCUGCUUAAUAUCUCUGAAAUUUAAAACUAUUCAGAAUCCCACUGGGCCCGAUCUAUUUUCAAUGCUAAUGCUCCACUGCUAAAACUAUAUAAGCAUCUUCCCUCUAGGCUCAGGCACUAUCUUGGAAGAGGUAAAUGUGUAAGAUUGUAAAGGUUGAUUUUUGAGCAACAAAAUUAAUUUAGAUCUUCCAAAUAAAAAAUGGGCACACAGAUGCCCAAACAGUUGGCAAAAUAAGAUACUUUACCUCCUGGACCAGUAUGUGGACCUUUUUCAUCCAUCCCAACCAUAAUUUCCUCUUUCCUGUAGAAUUAAAAGAAAAUUGCAAAGAGGAUAUGAACUUUUCUGGUAAGAAAACCUCCUGGGUAUAGUGCUCCCAGUUAUGAGAUUUAUGCAGAUUGUUAUAUAAAGUUUUUUUAAAUCAAGCACCUUAGGACAAACUAUUAAAAAGACUGCUAAAAGCGUUGUGACACAACAAAAGUCUCUAAAUUCUGUAGCUUAAAAAGUUUUAACAAAGUACUUAUCUUUUGCAAGCUAAUUGCUACAAGUCUAUAACUAAAACAUGUAUUGACUGAUGUCUUAGGUCUCCCUAAAAUAUAUAAAACCAAGUUGUAAACCAAUCACCUUGGACACAUGUUCUCAGGACCUCUGGAGACUGUGCCUUGGGCCAUGGUC
Molecule: long non-coding RNA, 2345 nt
Organism: Homo sapiens (human)
Lineage: Eukaryota; Metazoa; Chordata; Mammalia; Primates; Hominidae
Gene: FIRRE
Product: firre intergenic repeating RNA element
Source: Ensembl